RNAcentral lists this ribosomal RNA (468 nucleotides) under uncultured bacterium. RNAcentral's name for it is "partial 16S ribosomal RNA". It matches the Rfam family "Bacterial small subunit ribosomal RNA", at positions 28 to 507 of the family's 1533-position model. The record is from RNAcentral.
GACGAACGCUGGCGGCGUGCUUAACACAUGCAAGUCGAACGGAAAGGCCCUGCUUUUGUGGGGUGCUCGAUUGGCGAACGGGUGAGUAACACGUGAGUAACCUGCCCUUGACUUUGGGAUAACUUCAGGAAACUGGGGCUAAUACCGGAUAGGAGCUCCUGCUGCAUGGUGGGGGUUGGAAAGUUUCGGCGGUUGGGGAUGGACUCGCGGCUUAUCAGCUUGUUGGUGGGGUAGUGGCUUACCAAGGCUUUGACGGGUAGCCGGCCUGAGAGGGUGACCGGCCACAUUGGGACUGAGAUACGGCCCAGACUCCUACGGGAGGCAGCAGUGGGGAAUAUUGCACAAUGGGCGGAAGCCUGAUGCAGCAACGCCGCGUGCGGGAUGACGGCCUUCGGGUUGUAAACCGAUUUCGCAUGUGACGAAGCGUGAGUGACGGUAAUGGGUAAAGAAGCACCGGCUAACUACGUG